AUGACAUGAUGAGGACAUAUUUUGAGUAACUCUUUAAAUCUUUCUGAUGCAUCAUAUAGGCUUUCAUCUUCAAGUUUAUGGAAAGAUGUUAUUUCAUUUAUCAAUUU
RNAcentral lists this small nucleolar RNA (107 nucleotides) under Citrus sinensis (sweet orange). Its description in RNAcentral is "Plant small nucleolar RNA R71". It matches the Rfam family "Plant small nucleolar RNA R71". Rfam says of the family: R71 is a member of the C/D box family of snoRNAs containing the C (UGAUGA) and D (CUGA) box motifs. Multiple nearly identical copies of this snoRNA have been identified in Arabidopsis, and it is thought to function as a 2'-O-ribose methylation guide for 18S ribosomal RNA. The record is from Rfam by way of RNAcentral. Lineage: Eukaryota; Viridiplantae; Streptophyta; Magnoliopsida; Sapindales; Rutaceae.